UAUUUUCUAUUUUUACAUGUAAAGGAAAAAAAAUAUGGCUAAAGUUUUCAAAUGUUUAUUUAUGUGUUCACAUUUAUCAUUGUAGUGUCAUCCUCCCCGUUGGCUGCAUGGGCGGGUUGUCCCUCGCUGCUACGAGUCGGCCGUAAGUCCAUGCUCGCACGUAUUACUAUAUGCACUGGAGAAAGAGAUUGUCGUAGUUAUCAUUGUAUCCCUCAUGAAUUUCCAAGAUGCAUAAGGGGGAUGUGUCGAUGUAAGUAUUCGGGAAAUUAAGUUCAAAAACCAUUCCAUGGUACGGGUAUACAUGUAUUUUUUUAAUUAUAAUGUUGUAUUUUUAUGAUCUCGUUGACACCUCAAUCUUCGUUUGUUACAUCUUAAAAGAAUUAUGCAAGUGUGGUUAUAAAGGCAAAGAUUAUAAUAAUAGUAGGUGGAUAUUUCUGUUCAAAUAAAAAGAUGCACACUUGCUAAUUUAGACAUUCAA
Long non-coding RNA from Medicago truncatula (barrel medic), 478 nucleotides. RefSeq lists it as uncharacterized. The record is from RefSeq and is a predicted model, not a curated record. NCBI's taxonomy places the organism in Eukaryota, Viridiplantae, Streptophyta, Magnoliopsida, Fabales, Fabaceae. The transcript has 2 exons.